AGCAGUCGCCGCGGUAAUACAGAGGGUGCGAGCGUUAAUCGGAUUUACUGGGCGUAAAGCGUGCGUAGGCGGCUUCUUAAGUCGGAUGUGAAAUCCCUGAGCUUAACUUAGGAAUUGCAUUCGAUACUGGGAAGCUAGAGUAUGGGAGAGGAUGGUAGAAUUCCAGGUAUAGCGGUGAAAUGCGUAGAGAUCUGGAGGAAUACCGAUGGCGAAGGCAGCCAUCUGGCCUAAUACUGACGCUGAGGUACGAAAGCAUGGGGAGCAAACAGGAUUAGAUACCCCUGUAGUCCCUGUCUCUUAUAC
Molecule: ribosomal RNA, 303 nt
Filed under: uncultured bacterium
Lineage: Bacteria
Description: partial 16S ribosomal RNA
Rfam family: Bacterial small subunit ribosomal RNA
Source: RNAcentral